RNAcentral lists this ribosomal RNA (430 nucleotides) under uncultured bacterium. RNAcentral describes it as "partial 16S ribosomal RNA". It matches the Rfam family "Bacterial small subunit ribosomal RNA", at positions 338 to 795 of the family's 1533-position model. The record is from RNAcentral.
CCUACGGGCGGCAGCAGUGGGGAAUAUUGGGCAAUGGGCGCAAGCCUGACCCAGCAACGCCGCGUGAAGGAAGAAGGCUCUCGGGUUGUAAACUUCUUUUAAGGGGGAAGAGCAGAAGACGGUACCCCUUGAAUAAGCCACGGCUAACUACGUGCCAGCAGCCGCGGUAAUACGUAGGUGGCAAGCGUUGUCCGGAUUUACUGGGUGUAAAGGGCGUGCAGCCGGAGAGACAAGUCAGAUGUGAAAUCCACGGGCUCAACCCGUGAACUGCAUGGCUGGAGUACAGGAGGGGCAGGCGGAAUUCCUAGUGUAGCGGUGAAAUGCGUAGAUAUUAGGAGGAACACCGGUGGCGAAGGCGGCCUGCUGGACUGUGACUGACGUUGAGGCCCGAAGGCGUGGGGAGCAAACAGGAUUAGAUACCCUAGUAGUC